RNAcentral lists this ribosomal RNA (468 nucleotides) under uncultured bacterium. Its description in RNAcentral is "partial 16S ribosomal RNA". It matches the Rfam family "Bacterial small subunit ribosomal RNA", at positions 28 to 507 of the family's 1533-position model. The record is from RNAcentral.
GACGAACGCUGGCGGCGUGCUUAACACAUGCAAGUCGAACGGAAAGGCCCUGCUUUUGUGGGGUGCUCGAGUGGCGAACGGGUGAGUAACACGUGAGUAACCUGCCCUUGACUUUGGGAUAACUUCAGGAAACUGGGGCUAAUACCGGAUAGGAGCUCCUGCUGCAUGGUGGGGGUUGGAAAGUUUCGGCGGUUGGGGAUGGACUCGCGGCUUAUCAGCUUGUUGGUGGGGUAGUGGCUUACCAAGGAUUUGACGGGUAGCCGGCCUGAGAGGGUGGCCUGCCACAUUGGGACUGAGAUACGGCCCAGACUCCUACGGGAGGCAGCAGUGGGGAAUAUUGCACAAUGGGCUGAAGCCUGAUGCAGCAACGCCGCGUGCGGGAUGACGGCCUUCGGGUUGUAAACCGCUUUCGCCUGUGACGAAGCGUGAGUGACGGUAAUGGGUAAAGAAGCACCGGCUAACUACGUG